This 66-nucleotide transfer RNA is filed under the name Prosciurillus leucomus (whitish dwarf squirrel). RNAcentral's name for it is "tRNA-Phe". It matches the Rfam family "tRNA". Rfam says of the family: Transfer RNA (tRNA) molecules are approximately 80 nucleotides in length. Their secondary structure includes four short double-helical elements and three loops (D, anti-codon, and T loops). Lineage: Eukaryota; Metazoa; Chordata; Mammalia; Rodentia; Sciuridae. The record is from RNAcentral.
UUAAUGUAGCUUAACAUAAAGCAAUGCACUGAAAAUGCUUAGAUGGGUAAUUAUACCCCAUAAACA